AGAGUUGAUCAUGGCUCAGGACGAACGCUGGCGGCGUGCCUAACACAUGCAAGUCGAACGGGGAUUUGUUUCGGCAGAAUCCUAGUGGCGAACGGGUGAGUAACGCGUAGGCAACCUGCCCUCCGGCCGGGGACAACACUCCGAAAGGGGUGCUAAUACCGGAUACGAAGUCUGUGCCGCAUGGUACGGAUUUGAAAGAUGGCCUCUAUUUAUAAGCUAUCGCCGGGGGAUGGGCCUGCGUCCGAUUAGCUGGUUGGUGGGGUAACGGCCUACCAAGGCGACGAUCGGUAGCCGGUCUGAGAGGAUGAACGGCCACAUUGGGACUGAGACACGGCCCAGACUCCUACGGGAGGCAGCAGUGGGGAAUCUUCCGCAAUGGGCGCAAGCCUGACGGAGCAACGCCGCGUGAGUGAGGAAGUUCUUCGGAACGUAAAGCUCUGUUGUUCCUGACGAACCUCCCUUCUAUCAACAACGGAGGGGACUGACGGUAGGGAACGAGGAAGCCACGGCUAACUACGUGCCAGCAGCUGC
This 531-nucleotide ribosomal RNA is filed under the name uncultured bacterium. RNAcentral describes it as "bacterial SSU rRNA". It matches the Rfam family "Bacterial small subunit ribosomal RNA", at positions 8 to 518 of the family's 1533-position model. The record is from RNAcentral.